GGGCUUUAGCUCAGUGGUAGAGCAUGUGGUUUGUACCCAAAAGGUCCCAGAUUCAAUCCUCAGCAUCUCUAGGAAGUAAUA
Molecule: non-coding RNA, 81 nt
Organism: Podarcis lilfordi (Lilford's wall lizard)
Lineage: Eukaryota; Metazoa; Chordata; Lepidosauria; Squamata; Lacertidae
Source: the annotation of a GenBank genome assembly